Bos taurus (domestic cattle) is the source of this 57-nucleotide non-coding RNA. The record is from Rfam. NCBI's taxonomy places the organism in Eukaryota, Metazoa, Chordata, Mammalia, Artiodactyla, Bovidae.
UGGUCUAGUGAUUAGGACUCUGCAUUUCCAUUGCGGGGGGCAAGGGUUCGAUCCCUU